AAGCUAUGAUGAGGGCACUGUCUUUGUAGACUCUUGAAUCUGUCUCAUGCUUCAAAUAAUGAUUCUCUAUCUGCUUGAGCGAAAUUUAUGAUACAAUUCCUCAUGU
Small nucleolar RNA from Zingiber officinale, 106 nucleotides. The record is from RefSeq and is a predicted model, not a curated record. Lineage: Eukaryota; Viridiplantae; Streptophyta; Magnoliopsida; Zingiberales; Zingiberaceae.